This 310-nucleotide ribosomal RNA is filed under the name Serratia sp. JC27. RNAcentral describes it as "bacterial SSU rRNA". It matches the Rfam family "Bacterial small subunit ribosomal RNA", at positions 1068 to 1378 of the family's 1533-position model. The record is from RNAcentral. Lineage: Bacteria; Pseudomonadati; Pseudomonadota; Gammaproteobacteria; Enterobacterales; Yersiniaceae.
GGAAAUGUUGGGUUAAGUCCCGCAACGAGCGCAACCCUUAUCCUUUGUUGCCAGCGGUUCGGCCGGGAACUCAAAGGAGACUGCCAGUGAUAAACUGGAGGAAGGUGGGGAUGACGUCAAGUCAUCAUGGCCCUUACGAGUAGGGCUACACACGUGCUACAAUGGCGUAUACAAAGAGAAGCGACCUCGCGAGAGCAAGCGGACCUCAUAAAGUACGUCGUAGUCCGGAUUGGAGUCUGCAACUCGACUCCAUGAAGUCGGAAUCGCUAGUAAUCGUAGAUCAGAAUGCUACGGUGAAUACGUUCCCGGG